AAUUUCAAUGCAAGUAGUAUCGUUUGGUGAUCAGAAGAAAAUUAAAGCUAAGUUCGCAGUGGUUAUUGUUGAGUUUGAAUACUUACCCUAAAUUUACGUGCUAAGGCAUUUGCAACUUUAGUACGAAGGCGCGAAGUGAAACUGCGCAGGGAAGUUGAGCACAGGCUACAAUACCACGCAACGAAGCGUUUUCAAUUAGGAAUCGCCAGAUUGAACCGAAAUCGAAUUGAGGUGUAGGGACUAGCAGCGGAAAAUAGCUGGAAUCGAGACGGAAGUAAGCGAUAGGAAGUUCACUAAACG
Molecule: long non-coding RNA, 300 nt
Organism: Uranotaenia lowii
Lineage: Eukaryota; Metazoa; Arthropoda; Insecta; Diptera; Culicidae
Exons: 4
Source: RefSeq, a predicted model, not a curated record